UAUAUUAUGAGACACUGAAAUAGUUUAAAAACAUUGAGAGCAGAAAGAGAGGAGGAAUUCAUAACUUUUCAUCUUAUAUUUUAUCAUUUUGGAUUCAGAAAAAAACAAGAUGGAUGUCAAAAAGAAAGUAUCAAUACUCCUGAUUUUAAUAGUGGCACGUACAACAGUGGAAUCAACAACUGCGGCACAGACAACAACGCCCGCCCCUACAACAACUCUCGCACCUACAACAACACCGGUGCCAACAACAACUCC
Molecule: long non-coding RNA, 255 nt
Organism: Cyclopterus lumpus (lumpfish)
Lineage: Eukaryota; Metazoa; Chordata; Actinopteri; Perciformes; Cyclopteridae
Exons: 3
Source: RefSeq, a predicted model, not a curated record